RNAcentral lists this ribosomal RNA (323 nucleotides) under uncultured Nitrospirota bacterium. RNAcentral describes it as "bacterial SSU rRNA". It matches the Rfam family "Bacterial small subunit ribosomal RNA", at positions 29 to 351 of the family's 1533-position model. Lineage: Bacteria; Pseudomonadati; Nitrospirota. The record is from RNAcentral.
AGUGAACGUUGGCGGCGUGCUUAACACAUGCAAGUCGAACGCGUCCCGGGGGCAACUCCGGGAUGAGUGGCGAACGGGUGAGUAACACGUGGGUAAUCUCCCCUCGAGUGAGGAAUAAGCUCGCGAAAGCGGGUCUAAUACCGCAUGAUACUCCGGGACCCAUGUCUUCGGAGUCAAAGCCGCAAGGCGCUUGAGGAUGAGCCUGCGUCCUAUUAGCUAGUUGGUAGGGUAAUGGCCUACCAAGGUUAUGAUGGGUAGCCGGCCUGAGAGGGCGAUCGGCCACACUGGGACUGAGACACGGCCCAGACUCCUACGGGAGGCAG